Long non-coding RNA from Perca flavescens (yellow perch), 892 nucleotides. RefSeq lists it as uncharacterized. The record is from RefSeq and is a predicted model, not a curated record. NCBI's taxonomy places the organism in Eukaryota, Metazoa, Chordata, Actinopteri, Perciformes, Percidae. The transcript is spliced from 4 exons.
AUAGUAGUGUGUGAACGCUAUUGAAGGGCGGGUCUUGGCGUGGCCAUAGUGGGAUUCGUAAUAUCGCGGCCCGGGCGGUCUGGCCAUGGAUGUGGGAACUGGCUUGUCAGGCUCACAGGUCAGGCUUGUACUUCAAUGCAAUGUCAAGCGUUAUGACAGAUGGUUGAAAGCUCUACAAUCAUCUCUGAAAUCAAUGGUCUCUGAACGAGGAGAAGAGGGAGGAAGCAUUACACAUUAUGAUCUAUCAGAUAGCCAAAGGUAUAACUUAUUCAAUUGUUUUUUUCACUAAUGUCAACUAGACAAAUCCAUGUACUUUUAUUUCACAUAAAUGGUAAGGUUCCUGUCAUUAUGGUUAUUCUUUUGCUUUUAUUACGAUAAUGUCCUGAAUGGAUGACACCUACUGUAUGUAUGGCGUGAUGUCGUCUUCUGUCCAUUUCUCUCGGAGUGUGAAGAGGUGGUUGAAGCGCUCCAGCGUGUCUUCUGAGAGAUCCUCCACCCGCAGCAGGGAGAUGGUCUCUGGACGGAAGUUGCGGUCCACCAGGGCGACACUCUGGAAGAUUUACACCGCUGUCAGCACUGCAGCCAGUUUCUCAAGAGGAGUCAUGGUGCUAACUCUUCCAGACUGGUUUGAAGGGGAACCUUGUUGAAGGACCAGGACUCCGAAUCUACCAGCUGAGUCACAUGACCGAGCAACUUCAUCUCGUAGUCGAAGUCCAACAUGCGCCAGUAGCCUAGAAGACAGAAACAAUGCUCUCUCUAAACACCUGGCAUGGAUGGUCUCUAAGUGGGUCUUUAGCUCCUCUUCACUGGCCUGGAUCCUCUCCAACAGAUCCUGCAUUGUGUACUGGUAACAGAGGAACACAUACUUACUAACAGCUACAAUGACAUUUAA